RNAcentral lists this ribosomal RNA (112 nucleotides) under uncultured eukaryote. Its description in RNAcentral is "partial small subunit ribosomal RNA". It matches the Rfam family "Eukaryotic small subunit ribosomal RNA", at positions 1676 to 1785 of the family's 1831-position model. The record is from RNAcentral.
UCGCUACUACCGAUUGAAUGAUUUAGUGAGUUUCACGGAUUGGACAUCUUGGUUGGGCUUCCUUCCUUGAUGACCGAGAAGUGCCGCAAACUGAACCAUUUAGAGGAAGUAA